This 227-nucleotide long non-coding RNA is filed under the name Mytilus galloprovincialis (Mediterranean mussel). Lineage: Eukaryota; Metazoa; Mollusca; Bivalvia; Mytilida; Mytilidae. The record is from RNAcentral.
GUGCAAUGAUGGAAUGAUGGAAUGAUGGAAUGAUGGACAAGGGUUAAACUACAUGGUCCCAAUGUUUCUCAAUAGUACAUGUAUCGAUUCAUUUAUGAUUAUAACAUGAACAGUAUUGUAGAGGAACACUUGCAAUCCGUUUUUAGUCUGAAAAUCAUGGUCCAAAACAUUAUGUGAAAAUAAUGGUUUUUCAGACUAAGUUACAAGUCAAUGAACUCAGAUAUCAU